UGCCGCGUGCAGGAAGACAGCCCUCUGGGUCGUAAACUGCUUUUAUUCGGGAAUAAACCUUUCUACGUGUAGAGAGCUGAAUGUACCGAACGAAUAAGGAUCGGCUAACUCCGUGCCAGCAGCCGCGGUAAUACGGAGGAUCCAAGCGUUAUCCGGAUUUAUUGGGUUUAAAGGGUGCGUAGGCGGCUUAUUAAGUCAGGGGUGAAAGACGGUGGCUCAACCAUCGCAGUGCCUUUGAUACUGAUGAGCUUGAAUGAACUAGAGGUAGGCGGAAUGUGACAAGUAGCGGUGAAAUGCAUAGAUAUGUCACAGAACACCGAUUGCGAAGGCAGCUUACUAUGGUUUUAUUGACGCUGAGGCACGAAAGCGUGGGGAUCAAACAGGAUUAGAUACCCUGGUAGUCCACGCCCUAAACGAUGAAUACUCGCUGUUAGCGAUACACAGUUAGCGGCUAAGCGAAAGCGUUAAGUAUUCCACCUGGGGAGUACGCCCGCAAGGGUGAAACUCAAAAGAAUUGACGGGGGCCCGCACAAGCGGAGGAGCAUGUGGUUUAAUUCUAUGAUACGCGAGGAACCUUACCCGGGCUUGAAAGUUAGUGACUAAUUUAGAGAUAG
RNAcentral lists this ribosomal RNA (614 nucleotides) under Pedobacter sp. Ri1Ps_4779. RNAcentral's name for it is "bacterial SSU rRNA". It matches the Rfam family "Bacterial small subunit ribosomal RNA", at positions 395 to 1009 of the family's 1533-position model. Lineage: Bacteria; Pseudomonadati; Bacteroidota; Sphingobacteriia; Sphingobacteriales; Sphingobacteriaceae. The record is from RNAcentral.